AGGGCGUUAAAACAGAAAAAUUUGCCAAGGAUAAUAUUCAUAGAUAAUGGUACAAGAUCCAUAAGUAAAAGAAUAUUUACCUAAAAAUAAUUAAUUAUUAAAAAAUAUUUUCGUGACUCUCACCAAAAAGAAAAAACCAUUUAUUCGUUCUUCUUCUUCUCGCAAAAUGGAAACCUGCUCCCACCGCACUCCCAUAAGUCAUAUUGCAUUGUCGUCUCUCUUGCUCACUUUGGCGUCGCUUUCUCUGCUCUCUAUCGCUCAUUGGCAUUAUGCUCCAUCUUGAAUUAGAUUUCAUUUGUCGUUGAUGAGUGAUCACGUUGAGAAAUUGAAGCUUGUUGUUGAAAAUUCCCAUUUUUUAAGCCCGAGGCUGGUUUGUUCUAACUUGAAGAGAAUAACUCCAACUCCAAUCGCCCUCUUUACUUGAUAAGUUCAAGGAAUGGGUUUUGAGAGGGGAUGAAGAAAUACUGUUGAAAAGGUUGUUUAUAUACUUGAUCAAGUGUGUACCCUUGAGAAUGAGAUGCUCGUUCGGAUUAAGAAACAAACACUAGAUUUCCGUCUUAGAAUUCUGAUUGUUACCAGGCUAACACUUGAUGCAAAUCGGACAGCUUGCAACCAAUGACUAGAAAUGUAACACCCAGGAUAUUACGAGUUAUGAUAAAAGUUUGAAAUAUACAAGACUUUACUCAUGCAGAAAAAUAUAAUUUGUAAAAGCUUUAUUAGUUAAACAUGUGGAAUUAAAAUAAAGAUAUAAACUCUUCAAAUAUAAUAUCUUGAUUACAUUCUUCAAGUUGGCUACAAUGGUUUUUGCUUUGAAGAUGUGGAGGCACUAUCUUUAUGGGACACAGUUUGAAGUCUUUAGUGACCAUAAGAGUUUGAAGUACGUGUUUGACCAGAAGGAGUUGAACAUGCGUCAGAGGAGGUGGAUGAAGUACUUGAAGGACUACAACUAUGAGCUAUAGUAGCAUCGAGGUAAAACAAAUGUUGUUGCAGAUGCUUUGAGUAGGAGGAGAGUUCAGAUGUCUUCUGUUGAGAUUGUUUAUAGGGGAAGCACAGGAGUAGCUGAACCCACAAUCUCUGUGAUAUUUGUUUUUGAUGA
RNAcentral lists this small RNA (1096 nucleotides) under Vigna angularis var. angularis. RNAcentral describes it as "Non-protein coding transcript". The record is from RNAcentral. Lineage: Eukaryota; Viridiplantae; Streptophyta; Magnoliopsida; Fabales; Fabaceae.